CUUGAGCCAAGAGGACCAGCCUUUUAUUUUAUUUAUUUAUUUAUUUAUUUUUAAAAGAUUUUAUUUAUUUAUUUGACAGAGAGAAAUCACAAGUAGACGGAGAGGCAGGCAGAGAGAGAGAGGGAAGCAGGCUCCCCGCCAAGCAGAGAGCCCGAUGCAGGACUCGAUCCCAGGACCCUGAGAUCAUGACCUGAGCUAAAGGCAGUGGCUUAACCCACUGAGCCACCCAGGCGCCCAGGACCAGCCUUUUAUACAACCAGAGACGGGACAAGCAAAUACCCACUUUCUCAUCUCCCUUUUGUCUGUGGUGGCCAUGGAACACAGCUCUGGAUCUUAUACCUCCCAUGCUUCAUUCAAGAAAAAGAGUCAGAAACAGAACUGACAAAAUGUCCACGUGAAGAAUUGAUUGCAGGUGCAAAGGUGUCAUUGUAUCAUUCUCUUCCUUGGUGGAUGUUUGAAAUACUUCAUACAGCAAAAAUCUGCCAGGCGGAGGUUAAAACGUUUGCUUCUCAGACAAAGAGGAUCAGGAUGUUAGCUUUCUUCUUCCCUCUUUGAUUCUGCCUUUAAAACUGGGUGAGAUGGGGCACCUGGGUGGCUCAGUGGGUUGGGCCUCUGCCUUCGGCUCGGGUCAUGAUCUCAGGGUUCUGGGAUCGAGCCCCACAUUGGGUUGUCUGCUCAGCGGGGAGCCUGCUUCCUCCUCUCUCUCUGCCUGCCUGUCUGCCUACUUGUGAUCUCUAUCUGUCAAAUAAAUAC
Molecule: long non-coding RNA, 753 nt
Filed under: Mustela putorius furo (domestic ferret)
Lineage: Eukaryota; Metazoa; Chordata; Mammalia; Carnivora; Mustelidae
Description: lncRNA (ENSMPUG00000029970.1)
Source: RNAcentral